This 479-nucleotide ribosomal RNA is filed under the name uncultured bacterium. RNAcentral's name for it is "bacterial SSU rRNA". It matches the Rfam family "Bacterial small subunit ribosomal RNA", at positions 15 to 507 of the family's 1533-position model. The record is from RNAcentral.
GAUCAGUGGCUCAGGACGAACGCUGGCGGCGUGCUUAACACAUGCAAGUCGAACGAUGAACCGGAGCUUGCUCCGGGGAUUAGUGGCGAACGGGUGAGUAACACGUGGGCAACCUGCCCCAGACACCGGGAUAACCUUCCGAAAGGAUGGCUAAUACCGGAUACGACCACUUCGGGCAUCCGACGGUGGUGGAAAGGAUUCUGGUCUGGGAUGGGCCCGCGGCCUAUCAGCUUGUUGGUGGGGUAAUGGCCUACCAAGGCGACGACGGGUAGCCGGCCUGAGAGGGCGACCGGCCACACUGGGACUGAGACACGGCCCAGACUCCUAUGGGAGGCAGCAGUGGGAAUAUUGCGCAAUGGGCGAAAGCCUGACGCAGCGACGCCGCGUGAGGGACGAAGGUCUUCGGAUUGUAAACCUCUUUCAGCAGGGACGAAGCGAAAGUGACUGUACCUGCAGAAGAAGCACCGGCUAACUACGUG